ACGAUUCCAUUUUCAUCUUUUUCCAAACCUAAUCCAACCUUCCAAACAUCACAUAUGUAGCUUCUGUUAGUGAACUGGUCUGCAAAGUAAGGCCAGCAGAGGAAUGGGACACCAUUGCUUACACCUUCCAUUGUAGAAUUCCAACCACAGUGGCUGAGGAAGCAGGCAACUGAAGGAUGAGCCAGGACCUGUUGUUGAGGUGCCCAACUGGCUAAUCUUCCUCGUCCUUGUAUUCGAUCUCUGAAACCUUUUGGAUAUGCACCAUCUGUUUCUGCAGUUAAAUUACGCCUCACAACCCAAAGGAAUGGCAUAUUGGUGAGUUCAAGUCCCAGAGCCAGUUCUUGGAACUGUGUGUGGUCAAAAACUGAGGUGCUCCCAAAUGCAACAUAAAUGACUGAUUGGACUGGUUGUUUAUCAAGCCACGCCAAGCAAUCCCAGUCUUCAGGCCAGUAGGAACCAACUGAUUUUCCAAGCCGGUUGCUAGCUAGAAGAGGGCCAAUUGGCAACAUUUCUGGAAAUAAGUGCAUCAAAAACAAUACCCUGUGUGGUCGCAUCACCGACACUGGCCCAAGCAAAGUGUUCAGAGUCCAUGGCUAAUAUGGCGGGUGAUAACUGAACCAUCUGCUUCUUCAUGAUAGUUCCUGCCACAAAAUUUGCCUUAAUAUCAAUUUUGAUAAGCAUUUUGUUCUGGCAAUGCAUUUUUUUCUUUGCUGCAAAAAUUUCCUUGCAUCGAUGAAGACUAAUUCACUUGAUAUGUUUUUCAACUUUCAACUUAUUUUGCAACACCCAAAUGUGCACCACCCUGUUUCCUAUGAGUUUGUUACUUUGCUUGCAUUAUGAUUUUUACCUUCAUAGGUUCCAAUUCUAAUCAACUUUAUAUUGUUUUACCGUUUUAUGACUACAAAGAAGUAAGUGCCUAUAAGAAAAUGAUGAACUGAAGUAUUAUGCUGUGAUGAGUCUUACCAGAGCUGUCUAUGAUUCCAUCAUCAAUGAGCUUUGGAAUAUUGAGUUUCAGAGCGUAUACAGCUGCUGCUGCUGGCCAGAAGGCUACUGCCCUGACUCCCAUUUUCUUCGCAACCUCCAGUGCCAAACCCAAGAACUCAUCAGCAAUAAUGCAUGUGAUUUUGUCACUUUCAGAUUGAUUUAUCUUCUCAAUUAGAGCCUCCAGCUUUGCCGGCAUAACACAAAAAAUCGCCUUCAUUAACUUCCCCGCAUCAUUUCUGUCUUCCCACGAUUCCAGGCCAUCUGGGAUGGAUACCAGAUGCAUCAUAUCAGGCACAUUUUCUUCACCAGAUAACGAUUCAAUGACUCGUUUGUGAUCAAAUUCUGUGUUCACAAAUGUAACCUUGAUACCAUGCUUCACUAGGCAUAAGGCAAGUUCCAUCAGGGGAAGUACAUGACCUUGUGCUGGAUAAGGUAUGGCUAGAACAUGUGGACUGCCCAUAUUGUUUCUACAACACUAUACUACCAUUAAUCUCCAUAUAUGGCACAAUUCAUCUGUUUUCUUAUUAAGGAGAGAACCCAUGGCACAUUAAAUGGCUAAUCACUAAUAUGUGGUCAAGUUUUCCAGAGCCUGAAAGAGGCAACGUUUUUCUCGAGUGCACCCUUUCUUUGUCUUGAUUUUGGUAUCUGUCAACGUUUUUUCACAAUCUUGGAAUUGUUGCUAACCAAUACUUUUAGAUUGAAAUGAAAACAGAAGAUGGAUUGCAAGGGAC
Molecule: long non-coding RNA, 1715 nt
Organism: Coffea arabica (coffee)
Lineage: Eukaryota; Viridiplantae; Streptophyta; Magnoliopsida; Gentianales; Rubiaceae
Source: RefSeq, a predicted model, not a curated record